This 512-nucleotide ribosomal RNA is filed under the name uncultured bacterium. RNAcentral describes it as "partial 16S ribosomal RNA". It matches the Rfam family "Bacterial small subunit ribosomal RNA", at positions 28 to 523 of the family's 1533-position model. The record is from RNAcentral.
GAUGAACGCUGGCGGCAUGCCUAAUACAUGCAAGUCGAACGAGAGGAAGGAAAGCUUGCUUUUCUGAAUCUAGUGGCGAACGGGUGAGUAACACGUAGGUAACCUGCCCAUGUGCCCGGGAUAACUUCUGGAAACGGAUGCUAAAACCGGAUAGGUAGCAGACAAGCAUUUGACUGCUAUUAAAGUGGCUAAGGCCAUGAACAUGGAUGGACCUGCGGUGCAUUAACUAGUUGGUGAGGUAACGGCCCACCAAGGCGACGAUGCAUAGCCGGCCUGAGUGGGCGGACGGCCACAUUGGGACGGAGACACGGCCCAAACUCCUACGGGAGGCAGCAGUAGGGAAUUUUCGUCAAUGGGGGGAACCCUGAACGAGCAAUGCCGCGUGAGUGAGGAAGGUCUUCGGAUCGUAAAGCUCUGUUGUAAGAGAAAAACGACAUUCAUAGGGAAUGAUGAGUGAGUGAUGGUAUCUUACCAGAAAGUCACGGCUAACUACGUGCCAGCCGCCGCAGUAA